Molecule: ribosomal RNA, 253 nt
Filed under: uncultured bacterium
Lineage: Bacteria
Description: partial 16S ribosomal RNA
Rfam family: Bacterial small subunit ribosomal RNA
Source: RNAcentral
UACGUAGGGGGCUAGCGUUGUCCGGAAUCAUUGGGCGUAAAGAGCGUGUAGGCGGCCCGGUAAGUCCGCUGUGAAAGUCGGGGGCUCAACCCUCGAAUGCCGGUGGAUACUGUCGGGCUAGAGUGCGGAAGAGGCGAGUGGAAUUCCUGGUGUAGCGGUGAAAUGCGCAGAUAUCAGGAGGAACACCAAUAGCGAAGGCAGCUCGCUGGGACGGUACUGACGCUGAGGCGCGAAAGCGUGGGGAGCGAACAGG